UCACAGUACAUGGAGGGAGAAGGAAAAGGUUGUAGUCAUCCACCCUCACUCUGCCAUGGGUCAUUAGUCUGGAUAUUCAGUACUUUAGUUUUAUGCAGUGUGUUUGAGUUAGUUGACACAGUUCCAUACAGUGUACUGUAGUCCCUGUGUUGUCAGUAAGUGCUUGUAUACAGUGAGGAUACAAACCACUUAUGACAGAGCUAACACAAUAACAACCAUGUCACUGUCCAAACACUAAUUAACAUGUUAUCAAAACACUUGCUGAAUGGAGGACGGUACCAAAUUUCCCCUCACACAAUAACAGCAUGCAGGUGGAACAUGUCUGUAUGCACAUGAAGUGAAUUUUCAAAACUGGAGGGAAGGGGAUCUGCAAAAAGGCUCUGUGGUCGGCAUGAAGCUGGACUCUCUGGUGACGGUGGCAGAGAUGAGGACACUGGACAAACUGCUGGAUAUUAUGGACAAUGCCAGCCACCCUCUGCACACCGUCAUCAGCAACCAGAGGAGCCUGUUCAGCGAGAGACUGCUCCUGCCCAAGUGUAGGACCAACAGACUGAAGAACUCCUUUGUCCACCAUGCCAUCACGCUCUACAACUCCUCACUUGGGAGGAGGAGAUAGGGUAGGGUAUGGAGCACAGAAGGGAGUGGUAGCCCCCCUUAAAGCGCAAUAACCCACCUGGACACUCAAGUAAUAUACAGUUCGGCAUAUUUAUAUUUAUUUAUGACAAUGCCAUACAGAGUCCAUUCACUUUUAAUUCUAUUCUAUUUAUAUUCUUUGCUAUUCUAUUUAUAUUCUGUGUCGUUUGCUAACUGUCCUGCAUGCUGCCCUGUCUUUCGCUCACAAACUGUUGUUGUACUGCCCUGUGUGAUGUGUUGUUUUCUGUCUGUAUUUGCUGCUGGAAAUGUAAUUUCCCCGAGGGAGUCAUCCCAAAGGGAUCAAUAAAGUCCGUCUAAGUCUAAGUCUAAGUUGUCAAGAAAGGUUGAGAUCUACCCACUCCCGACGCCAAAAGAAAGGAUCUAAUGCUAGAUUCUCCCCAUGGUAGUAAGAUACACAGUUUUGACUAAUCCUUUAAAAAUAUUAAUCAAUAUAAUGUGAAGCGUUGUAAUCAAUGUAUUGAAUGAAAUGAAUGGGAAAUCAUAUGAAAUUGUGAUUAAGCAAUGACAGGAUUGUGACAUGACUGGAAAGCAUCAGAUGGCCUGUUUGGUCUUAGCAAAAAGAGAAGUUGGUAAAGCAUUGUGAGGAAUGGUAUGAGGGUAUGAAAACCAUGAUUUGUGAUUUAAACAGUGAUAAUAAUGCAAAGAGUGAACGAUGAAGAAUGAUUGUACUAAUGGUAUUGUUGAAUAUGAUGAUUAAUUAUGAUAAUGGUAACUAAGAAUAAGAAUGAUUGAAGGAAGUGGUAUGUAGGAUGGGUGCGAUCACUAUUGGUAAAGACUUGAAGCCAGAAAGGAUUGCGACAUAACGGACAGCACCGGAUCUGAGAGAUUGCGACAGGGUUGCCGGAGCUGGCAUUGUCAAAAAUGGUUUGGUAAAGGAAGUCAGAGGGGGAGGGUUGGAGAGUUGGCCAAGACCAGAUAAAAGGUGAGAUACCAGACAAUUUAUUCAGACUCUUCGUUGACCAUCGGUGGAUCAUCACCUAAGGAAGACCCCUCCUCGGCCGUCGUCAAGAGAGCUGGAAUCAGCGAACUUUUCUUCAAUUCGAACGAAGGAAUCUGGGAGAUUAUUUGCUGUCAAGAAGACCCAAGGCAAGAGGAGUUUCACAAAGGAUUAUUAAUUUCCCCACUGCAGUGAAGGAAUUGUUCUCUGACGAUUUAACAAGUUCGCCAGGCCCAGAAAAAGGAACUGUGAGUUGGGCGAGGUCCUCCGGGGCUCUGUACGGAGUCAGGGGACUCACCCCUCUCAGGACCGGCCUGAAAAGAGGAAAGGUCAGCUAAGGCCAAGCUGCCAAUCCCUCCAGCUCUCUCACCAAAAUAUGCACCCAUCUCAGUGACCAGCUUCAGCAUUAAUUCAGGGAUCAUGCAGAAAAAUGUUCACCCACAACUUCGACAUGUUAAGACCACUCCAGUGACACACAUCACACUGCCAGAAGACAGGUGAAAAGAGAACAAGACCCUAGAGACGCAGAGACAUCGUGACUAUUGGUCCAGCUCAAAUGACCCAGGAUCAUAUAUUUCCCAGAACAGUGAUCAUAAUGAAUUCAUGGUUUGUUUGUUUGUAUGUUUGUUUGUUUGUUUUUAUCAGGAAAAGACACCAAACAUGCUGUGGUUUCAGUGAGUCCACUGUGAUGAUGCUGCUGUUCUCAGUGCAGCAGUAAACUGUUUAUUCUGGGCUUUUUACUGCAAAGUUAAUGAAGUAAUCAGAAAAAACAGGCUGGCAAAAUUAUCUUUACUCAAAGUCCUUACUUGUUUUUUCUGCAUAUACCAAUCUUUAGCAAUAAUGAAACAUGAUAAAACAAUAAAAAAUACAAUGAAGACAGUAGAUUUUUUUUCUGUUUUCUAGGUUAAGAGUGAAGCUGAUAUUUAUGAGUUAAUAAGUAAUGAAAAUAAUCAUUGGAUGCAUCCCUGCUUGUCUUCCUGAUGGAGGUUUGAACAGGGAAUUGACCAGCAGGGUCUCUCACAGGAAACUGUUUAUCCGAUGUGUUGUGACACAUCUCAUGUUCAGCCUGAAUAGCACCCUCAUUAAACAUGUGAUAUUUUC
Molecule: long non-coding RNA, 2692 nt
Organism: Lates calcarifer (barramundi perch)
Lineage: Eukaryota; Metazoa; Chordata; Actinopteri; Centropomidae
Exons: 2
Source: RefSeq, a predicted model, not a curated record